UCCGGCUUAUCACCGGCAGUCCCCCUAGAGUGCCCGGCAUAACCCGCUGGUAACUAGGGACGAGGGUUGCGCUCGUUGCGGGACUUAACCCAACAUCUCACGACACGAGCUGACGACAGCCAUGCACCACCUGUGAACCUGCCCCGAAGGGAGGGUGUGUUUCCACACCUGUCAGGCACAUGUCAAGCCCAGGUAAGGUUCUUCGCGUUGCGUCGAAUUAAACCACAUGCUCCGCUGCUUGUGCGGGUCCCCGUCAAUUCCUUUGAGUUUUAGCCUUGCGGCCGUACUCCCCAGGCGGGGCACUUAAUGCGUUAGCUUCGGCACGGGAGGAGUCGACACCCCCCACACCUAGCACCCAUCGUUUACGGCGUGGACUAC
RNAcentral lists this unclassified non-coding RNA (378 nucleotides) under uncultured Thermoleophilia bacterium. Its description in RNAcentral is "contains 16S-23S intergenic spacer region". Lineage: Bacteria; Bacillati; Actinomycetota; Thermoleophilia. The record is from RNAcentral.